This 440-nucleotide ribosomal RNA is filed under the name uncultured bacterium. RNAcentral's name for it is "partial 16S ribosomal RNA". It matches the Rfam family "Bacterial small subunit ribosomal RNA", at positions 338 to 795 of the family's 1533-position model. The record is from RNAcentral.
CCUACGGGAGGCAGCAGUGGGGAAUAUUGCACAAUGGAGGGAACCCUGAAGCAGCGACGCCGCGUGAGUGAAGAAGUAUUUAGGUAUGUAACACUGUAUCAGCAGGGAAGAAAAUGACGGUACCUGACUACGAAGCCCCGGCUCACUACGUGCCAGAAGCCGCGGUAAUACGUCGGGGGCAAGCGUAAUCCGGAUUUACCGGGUGUAAAGAGAGUGUAGGCGGCAGAGAAAGUCUGAAGUGAAAGCACGCGGCCCAACUCCGGGACUGCUUUGGAAACUGCCCGGCUAGAGUGGUGGAGAGGUAAGCGGAAUUCCUAGUGUAGCGGUGAAAUGCGUAGAUAUUAGGAAGAACACCAGUGGCGAAGGCAGCUUACUGGACAGUAACUGACGUUGAGGCUCGAAAGCGUGGGGAGCAAACAGGAUUAGAUACCCGUGUAGUC